AUACGGAGGGUGCAAGCGUUGUUCGGAAUCACUGGGCGUAAAGGGCGCGCAGGCGGUUUGGUAAGUCAGAUGUGAAAGCCCACGGCUCAACCGUGGAAGUGCAUUUGAAACUGCCAGACUUGAGUACCAGAGGGGAAAGUGGAAUUCCCGGUGUAGAGGUGAAAUUCGUAGAUAUCGGGAGGAAUACCGGUGGCGAAGGCGACUUUCUGGCUGGAUACUGACGCUGAGGCGCGACAGCGUGGGGAGCAAACAGGAUUAGAAACCCUAGUAGUCC
This 274-nucleotide ribosomal RNA is filed under the name uncultured bacterium. Its description in RNAcentral is "partial 16S ribosomal RNA". It matches the Rfam family "Bacterial small subunit ribosomal RNA", at positions 523 to 796 of the family's 1533-position model. The record is from RNAcentral.